Clupea harengus (Atlantic herring) is the source of this 1496-nucleotide long non-coding RNA. The record is from Ensembl. NCBI's taxonomy places the organism in Eukaryota, Metazoa, Chordata, Actinopteri, Clupeiformes, Clupeidae.
AAUAAUGGCCUCUACAGGCGUAACUGAUUCCCCUCUCAUCAAAUCCAUCUUAAACUUACAAAAUUACUAAAAUUACUAAAUCACAACCUGAAAAGCAAGAUUACCUCCCUUCAAAGCAGGGACUUACAGGAGGAGAAUCCUUGAAGUCACGUCCCACGUGGUUUCCUGAAACAAAGACAAUUCCACAACACAGCCACGUGUACAGCACAACAAUGCAAUUACAGCUGCCUCUGCUGAAAUGAUCUCAAAAUACAACCUUAAACUCACUUUUCGUUUAUAAUUAUAUAUAGUUACCAAAUCCUUUUAACCUACUACAAUUACCCACAGUAUUACCACUUAAUUCAAACCUUUAGCCACAAAUACAAAACGAAUCCUUUAAGUUUUACUUAAACCACGUGUUUGAACAAUGGAACCAAUUCACUCAGUACAAUUAUAGCCCACUCAGCUAAACAGAUUCAUAGGUUUUAGCUCAAGGCCUAUUUCAAUGCGUGUCACCAAAACCAGUAUCUCUGUAUUAUGAAUUACAGCACAAAGUUCCUUGCACUAAUACCACAAUUUCCAGUCGCCUUCGUUUUAAGAUAAGCAGUACACUAUCAACCUAUUCAACAAAAACGAAUUAAACUGGUUUGAGUACUAUGUUUCCAAUAGAUUUAACUACGUUUCUACGAUAUCACUUCAUCGAGAAAUUCCAAAAUAUUUCUACCUGAAAUCAACCGCAAAAUACGAAGCGUUCAUAUGUGUUCAUAUAAUCUAAUAACAAAUUAACGAAACUUGACUCCUGAUUCACCCACAGUAAGCUUAUUAAGUUAACUGCAACAUAAGACAAUGUGAUAUUAAUAUAUAAUGACCAGAAAAGUUUAACGGCGUCACGUAUAGUAUCGUUUCGUUCGCUCAACUUAACUGCAGUUCAAAACUUCACAAAUUCAUCCACACUUUCACACGACUGGAGCAUUUAUCCUAUAUGCUCCUUAUUUAACCACUGAUAUUAAUGAGAACUUUAUUGUAAUGUCUACAGUGGCUUUAUGCAAUCAUUCACACAGGUCUCCCACACUUUAUCUUUUCCAGAAUCACUUUACAAUCACCCGAUUGUCACGCUUAAAAACCAAAACGCGUGUUUUAAGUUGUAUACCGAUACAACCAUCUCUACCGAGAGAAUCACUUUACAAUCACCCGAUUGUCACGCUUAAAAACCAAAACGCGUGUUUUAAGUUGUAUACCGAUACAACCAUCUCUACCGAGAGAUAUAUCAAGCUCACCUUGAGCCGUGCACUUUUCCUUCUUAUCCGUCUAUACCUUAUGUUAUCCUAAAAAUGGUAGCGAACCAUACAGACUAUUCCUUACUAAAACACUCUCAUCUACUGGCCACGACGACGAGGCGCUUCGUUUUUGCAAAGACUAACACACCACAGUUCAGCUCCGACUCAACCAAAAUCCACUAAUUCAAGCGAAAUUUGCUUACCUUAAAUUUAAAGUGCGGCCUUGGAUUAGUUGAGGUC